This 468-nucleotide ribosomal RNA is filed under the name uncultured bacterium. RNAcentral describes it as "partial 16S ribosomal RNA". It matches the Rfam family "Bacterial small subunit ribosomal RNA", at positions 28 to 507 of the family's 1533-position model. The record is from RNAcentral.
GACGAACGCUGGCGGCGUGCUUAACACAUGCAAGUCGAACGGAAAGGCCCGCCUUUGUGGGGUGCCCGAGGGGCGAACGGGUGAGUAACACCUGAGUUAACCUCCCUUGACCUUUGGAUUACUUCCAGAAACCUGGGCCAAUACCGGGAUAGAGCCUCCGGCUGAAGGUGGGGGGUGGGAAGGUUUCGGCGGUUGGGGAUGGACUCGCGGCUUAUCAGCUUGUUGGUGGGGUAGUGGCUUACCAAGGCUUUGACGGGUAGCCGGCCUGAGAGGGUGACCGGCCACAUUGGGACUGAGAUACGGCCCAGACUCCUACGGGAGGCAGCAGUGGGGAAUAUUGCACAAUGGGCGGAAGCCUGAUGCAGCAACGCCGCGUGCGGGAUGACGGCCUUCGGGUUGUAAACCGCUUUCGCCUGUGACGAAGCGUGAGUGACGGUAAUGGGUAAAGAAGCACCGGCUAACUACGUG